Molecule: long non-coding RNA, 148 nt
Organism: Rhagoletis zephyria (snowberry fruit fly)
Lineage: Eukaryota; Metazoa; Arthropoda; Insecta; Diptera; Tephritidae
Source: RefSeq, a predicted model, not a curated record
UUUUCGUUUGAAGUGGUCCAGGUAAGCAUAACAAGUUACUAGUAUGCAACCUGGUCCUUUUGCACAUACUUUAAAACCACGACCCAGUGGACCAUGUGGUCCUGAAAUUUUUGCAGGGCAAUAAAUACAUAUGUAUGUACAUAUAUAU